Long non-coding RNA from Equus caballus (horse), 1920 nucleotides. Lineage: Eukaryota; Metazoa; Chordata; Mammalia; Perissodactyla; Equidae. The record is from Ensembl.
CUUUUGUAAGAUGGUUCUUUCAGACAUUAGUCAGCCCUUUUCCCCCUUGCCAGCAAGCUGUAAUUAAGUACUUUCUUUCAUACCACCUUGCCUCUUGACUAUUGGCAUGUCUUGACAUGGGCAGAUGACCCUUGGGCAGUAAAAACUUUGGCACCCCAGCUAGGACAUUAAGUCCUGCUCAUGUCCAGUCAACCUGGGAUGGGAAACCUGAUGAGUAAAUCCCUAGUGGCUGCCAAGGCUCUCUUUGUCUCAGAGAACUGCCCUUCUGCUUUCCUCUACCAACACUGGCUGCAUUCCAACACUGACUGUAGCAGGAAGAGAAACAGCUACAUCAAUGGGCUCAAUCUGGAGUAGGACUGGAUCCUGAAUUCUUCUAGUCUCCUGAAAUAUCUGGCUAAAAAUCUACAAACUACCAUUUUCAAUUUUUUCCAUCAUUUCCAUUUGGACUCAUUGAGAACUGAACCUGCCUGUUUUCCUGAAGCCAAGCAAACUGAAGCUGGAGGACUUGAUAUAAAAUUAAGAGAGAUUCAUGUCUGUUGCUAUAUGAAAAGGAGACAUAACCAAGCAAGAUGUAGAUCAGAAGAUCCUGAAAUUUAAGGCUAAGGCUGUAAUUGGCUGAGACUUUGGGGAUGCUCAAAUGGAAUGAGUAUGUUUGUAUAUAGGAGAAAAAUUAGUAAUUGUAGUGAAGAGGGUGGACUGGGGUAGUCUUGUAAUUCUUUUUUCUGCAAUUCCUCAAAUUCCCUGCAAUUCUUUAAUCCCCACUAUGCUUUCACCUGCAAUACUGCUAUAUCCUCCUUGAUGACCAGGGUGAAUAUCUUAUUCCUUGACUCUGACCUUAGUCUUGUAAACUUGCUUUGAAAAAUGAGAAAUUGGUAGAUCUGACAUAAGCAGAGGUUUGGAAUGGCAUCCACCCUGGGGCUGGCCCAGUCUUGGUCUUCUACAAGCACCAUGAGAACUUCCCCAGGCUAGUGCACUGCUCCCAAGAGGAGAAUCAGAGACUCACGGAGUUAAGUUGCCUCAGCAAGAUCCAGCUCAAAAUGCCAAUCAGCCGAAAGAUAACUGGCUCCCCAAUACAUUGCCAAGCCCAUUUCAAAUCAUCAGAGCCACCCAACACAAUGCAGUGUAGAUAAACUGAAUUGUGCAAACAUGUAAGAUAUAAAUAUCUACUGGAAUUUAACAGUGAAGUUUUUGAGUGGUUUGUUUUUCAGCAAAAGCUAAAUAAUACCAGUUCUCUGCUACCCUAACUAUGUAGAAAAUAUGUUCAUCCUUUACCUUUGGUGUAUCAGGAAUUCAGGAGCCAGAGGAAAAAUAGAUGGAGUAUAUCAAAGUUUUGUCAUGGGAGGUGGAUAAUGCUGGAAGAGAGCUUUCAUAAAGCUCUGACAACUGCAGAUACCAUCAGCUCAAAUUUCUGCAUAUUGCAACUAAAAUUAAAAAAUUCCCACUUUAUCUCUCUUAGACUUGAGUACCAUACAGACGGUGGACUUUCCCCCUAAGUGUGUAAUGAACUCAAUAAUCAUUGAUUCUUAUGGAAAAUUUACCCUGAGAAUUUUUUUAAUUAUAUGCAGAUUUAGAAAUAGCCAAACAAAAACGUGAGGUGCGAUUAUUGAUCACAAAGCAAACACCCGUGUAACCACCAUGCAGGUUAAGAAACGGCACAUUGCCAACAGCCCAGGUCACCUCCAUGCCACAUUCCAAUCACUACACCUGUCUCCACUUCUCCUGAGUGACCAAUAUCCAUACAUUGUCACAAUCGUUUCUUUGAUUUUCUUAUACUUUACCACCUUAAUGUGCAACUCUCAACUCUGUAGCUUUGUUUUGCCUGCUUUUUGAACUUUUGUAAAUAAAAUCCUAUAAUAUUGUAUUUUUUGUGGCUUCUCUUUUCAUUCAAUAUUAUGUUCUUCAAAUUUAUCCACACAGUCG